RNAcentral lists this ribosomal RNA (673 nucleotides) under uncultured Antarctic cyanobacterium. Its description in RNAcentral is "bacterial SSU rRNA". It matches the Rfam family "Bacterial small subunit ribosomal RNA", at positions 50 to 808 of the family's 1533-position model. Lineage: Bacteria; Bacillati; Cyanobacteriota. The record is from RNAcentral.
AACACAUGCAAGUCGAACGGUCUUUUAGGAGAUAGUGGCGGACGGGUGAGUAACGCGUGAGAAUCUAGCUUCAGGUCGGGGACAACCACUGGAAACGGUGGCUAAUACCGGAUAUGCCGAAAGGUGAAAGGCUUGCUGCCUGAAGAUGAGCUCGCGUCUGAUUAGCUAGUAGGUGUGGUAAAAGCGCACCUAGGCGACGAUCAGUAGCUGGUCUGAGAGGAUGAUCAGCCACACUGGGACUGAGACACGGCCCAGACUCCUACGGGAGGCAGCAGUGGGGAAUUUUCCGCAAUGGGCGAAAGCCUGACGGAGCAAUACCGCGUGAGGGAGGAAGGCUCUUGGGUUGUAAACCUCUUUUCUCAGGGAAGAAAAAGAUCAGCCGCGGUAAUACGGAGGAUGCAAGCGUUAUCCGGAAUGAUUGGGCGUAAAGGGUCCGCAGGUGGCUAUGUAAGUCUGCUGUUAAAGAACCUAGCUUAACUAGGUAAAAGCAGUGGAAACUACAAGGCUAGAGUGCGUUCGGGGUAGAGGGAAUUCCUGGUGUAGCGGUGAAAUGCGUAGAUAUCAGGAAGAACACCAGUGGCGAAGGCGCUCUACUAGGCCGCAACUGACACUGAGGGACGAAAGCUAGGGGAGCGAAUGGGAUUAGAUACCCCAGUAGUCCUAGCCGUAAACG